UCGUUAGCGGCGGACGGGUGAGUAACACGUGGGCAACCUGCCCUGUAGACGGGGAUAACACCGAGAAAUCGGUGCUAAUACCGGAUAACACGAAAUGUCGCAUGACGUUUCGUUGAAAGACGGCGCAAGCUGUCGCUACAGGAUGGGCCCGCGGCGCAUUAGCUAGUUGGUGAGGUAACGGCUCACCAAGGCGACGAUGCGUAGCCGACCUGAGAGGGUGAUCGGCCACACUGGGACUGAGACACGGCCCAGACUCCUACGGGAGGCAGCAGUAGGGAAUCUUCCGCAAUGGACGAAAGUCUGACGGAGCAACGCCGCGUGAGCGAAGAAGGCCUUCGGGUCGUAAAGCUCUGUUGUUAGGGAAGAACAAGUAACGCAGUAACUGGCGUUACCGUGACGGUACCUAACGAGAAAGCCACGGCUAACUACGUGCCAGCAGCCGCGGUAAUACGUAGGUGGCAAGCGUUGUCCGGAAUUAUUGGGCGUAAAGCGCGCGCAGGCGGUUCCUUAAGUCUGAUGUGAAAGCCCACGGCUCAACCGUGGAGGGUCAUUGGAAACUGGGGGACUUGAGUGCAGAAGAGGAGAGCGGAAUUCCACGUGUAGCGGUGAAAUGCGUAGAGAUGUGGAGGAACACCAGUGGCGAAGGCGGCUCUCUGGUCUGUAACUGACGCUGAGGCGCGAAAGCGUGGGGAGCAAACAG
Molecule: ribosomal RNA, 700 nt
Filed under: uncultured bacterium
Lineage: Bacteria
Description: bacterial SSU rRNA
Rfam family: Bacterial small subunit ribosomal RNA
Source: RNAcentral